RNAcentral lists this ribosomal RNA (305 nucleotides) under uncultured bacterium. RNAcentral describes it as "bacterial SSU rRNA". It matches the Rfam family "Bacterial small subunit ribosomal RNA", at positions 337 to 640 of the family's 1533-position model. The record is from RNAcentral.
GCCUACGGGGGGCAGCAGUGAGGAAUAUUGGUCAAUGGUCGGGAGACUGAACCAGCCAAGCCGCGUGAGGGAUGAAGGUACAGAGUAUCGUAAACCCCUUUUGUCAGGGAACAAAGGCGGGGACGUGUCCCCGGAUGAGUGUACCUGAAGAAAAAGCAUCGGCUAACUCCGUGCCAGCAGCCGCGGUAAUACGGAGGAUGCGAGCGUUAUCCGGAUUUAUUGGGUUUAAAGGGUGCGCAGGCGGUCUGUUAAGUCAGCGGUCAAAGCCCGGGGCUCAACCCCGGCCCGCCGUUGAAACUGGCAGG